This 251-nucleotide ribosomal RNA is filed under the name uncultured bacterium. Its description in RNAcentral is "partial 16S ribosomal RNA". It matches the Rfam family "Bacterial small subunit ribosomal RNA", at positions 525 to 775 of the family's 1533-position model. The record is from RNAcentral.
ACGUAUGGUGCAAGCGUUAUCCGGAUUUACUGGGUGUAAAGGGAGCGUAGACGGAUAGGCAAGUCUGGAGUGAAAGCCCGGGGCUCAACCCCGGGACUGCUUUGGAAACUGUUUAUCUAGAGUGCUGGAGAGGUAAGUGGAAUUCCUAGUGUAGCGGUGAAAUGCGUAGAUAUUAGGAGGAACACCAGUGGCGAAGGCGGCUUACUGGACAGUAACUGACGUUGAGGCUCGAAAGCGUGGGGAGCAAACAG